CACGCCAAGUUAAGUUGGUGAACAGUAAAUGCAAAGUACUGUCACUGACUUAGUAAGUCCAUACGUGCCAGAAACAGGAGAUAAGCCCUCCCCCAAAUUUAGGACCUCACAACAAAAGCGAAGUUUCUAAGUUAUAACAGUGUAGAGAAUUUUGGGGAUUCUCUUCACCUGGGUAUUUGAAGUCUUUAUGGAAAACAGAGAUACUGCACAGACCCUCCGCCAUUCACCAAGAGGAAGAUCGCAGUGAAGAUCUCUCGAGUUUAGGAGCAAAGAUGCUUCCUCUUCAGAGAAUUUUUCUUUUGAUAAUCGGCACCUGGCUUGCCCAACAUGCACUGGGCACUAUCUAAUUCAUCAAGACAUCAGAUGUGGUACAUGAAGAUUCAAUCCAUCACCAAGCAGAAGUGGUCCACAAUAGGCAUCAGGAACAAGUAAGUCAUGAAAGCACAAGGAAGUUCCAUGAGCAGGUGGCUCAGGUUUUCAUGACACAGACUCUUGAUGCACUACUGCCUCCAUUAAGUCACACUUUUGGCCUCACAGGGAUUCUUUAUGAUCAGUGGGCAGAGGAAGGAAAAAAUGCGCCUGGUGUAUAGACUGUUCUUCAUGAUGGGCUGGCCUUAGCCAGAGGUAGACUGGUGCAGUAUGACAGCAUUUAGAGUGUUCCCGAAAGACAAUGAAAGGAAAUCCUCCCAAUGGGCAGAACUUCAAGAACUGCAUCCAGUUUUCCAUCUUAUCUGGCUGAAAACACAGCUUGGGGUCCAGAGCUGUAGUCAUUCAUGCAUGGAAGUGGCUAGUGGCCAGGCCGUGUAAUCAGGUGCUUCGUAAGAAAUAUUAAAUAAGAAGAUUGGUAACAAGGAGUUACAGGGAAGAGACGUGGAUAUACCUCUUAAAUCUGGGAACACGAAGGUAUCUCUCUUAUGCUCGAUAGCUCUAUAAAACACAUCUACCACAAAGGUGGUUCUCGGUACGCGGGUGGACAAAAUGACCUAUUCGGCAUCUCAGCGUCUCUUCCCAGCCACCCUGGCGUGCGAUCAAUAAACUUAUGUAUAGAGUGACUGUGUAGACAGGAAUGGAGACCAUUUAUGGACUGAAUAAGACAGAAUGCCUCUUAUUAAGGGUGACCUGGCUGCUGCCACUGCGGGAUGUCCAGAGACCCCAAAAACCACCAUUUCCUAGACAGACCGGCCAGUCAUCUGGAGACAGACUGAAGUUGGUUAUACUGGAUACAUUUCAUCAUGAAAGGGAAAAUGAUCCGCCCUUACUGGCUAUACUCUACGUCUCUGGAGAACGCGACCUAGGUUUCGUCUCUCUUUGUACCCGCAGCCUCUGACAUCGUGCUUGGCUCAUGGUAGGUCAGCGCUGGACAAAUCUGUCCUAAGAACUGAGGGCCAGGUGCCUUGCUGGCUGGGUGGAGAAUGAUCCUUCCCUCGGGGAGCUCUCAGGCGAGAGGGGAGAGACAUGAGAAAAGAGGCUGAAGGGUGUGAGUUUGAGGUGGCAAGGGAGCUCACAGGAGGGUGCCUUUCACAAUCGGAGAGCCUUCCAUUAAACUGGGCUCGACACGCCCUUGGACUUUGGCAAUGGUGCCUUGCCAGGGCAAGCACUGAAGAAAUGUUUGCACGGGUUUGGACCACGUCUGCCCCAUUCACUGCUGUCUCCCCAACCUCUAGCAGAGCUGACACAUUGUGGCGAGCAGUAAAUAUCUGCACGGUGAACGCACGCGUGAACUAACAGCCAAGGCCUUCCUGUGUUUUUCAAACGCCUUUCCCCUCACUUUCUGACUCGUCCUUGUCCAAAGGUGUGAGCUAAUCCUUACCUCAGUGGAGGUGGUGCUGAAGAUCAAAGGCAGUAAUAAAUACGAAAGCACUUAGUAUAGUA
Long non-coding RNA from Panthera uncia (snow leopard), 1872 nucleotides. RefSeq lists it as uncharacterized. The record is from RefSeq and is a predicted model, not a curated record. NCBI's taxonomy places the organism in Eukaryota, Metazoa, Chordata, Mammalia, Carnivora, Felidae. The transcript has 2 exons.